CCUACGGGAGGCUGCAGUGAGGAAUAUUGGUCAAUGGGCGUAAGCCUGAACCAGCCAAGUCGCGUGAGUGAUGAAGGUUCUCUGGAUCGUAAACCUCUUUUAUAAGGUAAUAAAGUGUGGGACGUGUCCUAUUUUGUAUGUACCUUAUGAAUCCGGAUCGGCUAACUCUGUGCCAGCAGCAGCGUUAAUACGGAGGGUCUGAGCGUUAUCCGGAUUUAUUGGGUUUAACGGGUGCGUAGUCGGCAUUUUAAGUCAGAGGUGAAAUGCUGUGGCUCAACCAUAGAAUUGCCGUUGAAACUGGGGGGGUAGAGUGUUGUUGAGGCAGGUGGAAUGCGUGGUGUAGCGGUGAAAUGCGUAGAUAGCAGGCAGAACCCCAGUGGCGAAGGCAGCCUGCCAAGCCAUGACUGACGCUGAGGCACGAAAGCGUGGGGAUCAAACAGGAUUAGAUACCCCAGUAGUC
RNAcentral lists this ribosomal RNA (460 nucleotides) under uncultured bacterium. RNAcentral's name for it is "partial 16S ribosomal RNA". It matches the Rfam family "Bacterial small subunit ribosomal RNA", at positions 338 to 795 of the family's 1533-position model. The record is from RNAcentral.